Pan troglodytes (chimpanzee) is the source of this 4886-nucleotide long non-coding RNA. RefSeq lists it as uncharacterized. The transcript has 2 exons. The record is from RefSeq and is a predicted model, not a curated record. Lineage: Eukaryota; Metazoa; Chordata; Mammalia; Primates; Hominidae.
UGGGUAAUUAUAGCUUCCAGCCUCAUGUCAGGAGUCCCCUGCUCAACAGCGUGCUCCUGGUGGUACUGCCACCCGUAACGGGUACUGGCUUUGCUAACAUCCUGACGAGACGUCGGGGAGAGACGGGAAGUGGCAGAGAUGGGAUCUCACUGUGUUGCCCACGCUGGUUUCAAACUCCUAGCCUCAAGCAAUCCUCCUGCCUCAGCCUCCUGAAGCCCUGGGAUUACAAGCAUAAGCCACCGCCCCCGGCCAGAUCACAUGAUUCUUUACAUCUCUGCUGACAGAUUUCAUCACUGGUGCUGAGUGCAGGGAGUCCCGCAGCCACUUACACGUGUUGCAUUGCCAGGCAAUACAGGCCUGUGUGACUUGCUAUUCUGUGGCUGGGCUUCUGCCUGCAGAUGCCUGGUUUCUCCACUGCCAAGGCUCAUGGUCUGACACAUCCAUGAAAUUCAACAGUGAGGAUGCAAUGACAAUGAGUCGUGCAUGAGCGUUCCCGGGCCUCGCUCCCCUGCCCAUCAGAGAAGGCUUGGCAUCUCAGCUGACUCGCCCUCUGCUGCCCUGGGAAGGGGGCCGCCAUGGUCAGAAUGCCUCUCUGCUUACUUGGGCUAUGGCUGGGGAGGAGUUCUUCAGGAAAUCUUGAGGAGAGAGGUGCUGGAGUAUGAGGACAAUAGGUGGAAAGGGAAGGAAAUUUAAGGAAGUAUUUCUGUGGGCCAUGUGUCUCUGUUUCAGCAUUUAAGAACGCACAUAAGGAACUUCAGUUAUUUUGCAAUGACUCUUGUUGCUGGGUGGUGAUUCUUGACUCCACCAUUGGUUGAGUCUUGACUGCAGGCAUCGCAGCUUCAGGGGGAUUACGGAACACCAGCGCACAGAAGAAGUACACGGUAACUGAUAGUUAGACAACAGUCACAUUGCCCCUUGUGUUUCUGGAAACUCUGGGAAUAAAGGUGAUCUGGCUCAGCUCAUAUCCUUGGGAGCUUUAGCACACAAGCAGACCCAGAGAUACAGGCUUGGAUCUGAAUCUAGGAGGCCCAGCAGGAAUGGACGGGAAAACGUUCAUUUCUCUCGGAACGUCUCAUGAAAUCUCUAUUUCUAGGGCCAUGUUCACUGUGUAUUCAGGGAACUCUGCCUGUUGUUUUCAUGUCCAUUUCUGUAACUGUCAGAACUAUGAUCCCAUUUUAAAAUUUGCCUGAGUGCUUCCUCAAAUGCAAUGGAUAAUUUCCUUAACUAUACUAUUAGCAUAAAUUUGCAUGUUUAUUUCAUAAUUAAAAUGAGUAAGAAUAAAAGGCUAAUUACACCAAAAUUGCAUGAGUCACCAUAAUUAAAACUGUAGAAAAUAAUUUUACUUAUAAAUUUCAAAAUCUUGAGUGAUCUGUUAUUCAUCAUCGCAUGUUCAUUCUCAUCUUACCUCUAUUUCAUCCCGAAUGCUGGGGUGGGAGGACUCCAGGUACGAUGGAGCUGGAAUUGGAAGGUGUUCUUGGACCUCAGGGAGACUAGAAUCAGAUGAAGGGAAGAAAGUCAAUCCAAUGGAUUUGUGUAGAAAUCACACCCAAACCAAAGGGUAUCAGGCACAGGGAUCUUUGGUAGUAUUGGCAAGGCUCUAGGUCUCACGUGGGGUGGUGGGUUUAUUAUUAUGUUUCAUAAUCAGAUAUUGGAUUCAUAAUUGAAUCAAUAUUAUUGGAUUAUUUUAAUGUACUGAAUAUGACUACAUUUUUUGAAGAAGAAGAUAAUGAGCAAAUGUGUUUUUGAAUUUCCUUCUAACUUCUAAUCCAUCCUGCUUUAUGCCACCAAACAAGUCUUCCUAAAACACUGAUUUUAACCAUGUCGUGGCCUGAACACAGUCAUCAGUGACUCUACCUGUAGACAGAUAGAACUCCACCUUCCUUACCUGGCAUUUGAGGCUCCCAACUUGUUUUUCUGUGUGUAAUUUCUUCACAGAAUCUUUCAUGAAAUAAGCUACCCUCACUGUCCUGUGAAUGUGAUUUUUGUGUGAAUGUGAUUUUUGUGUUCUUAAUGUUGCACCUUUGCUCACACCAUCAUCCUCACCUCCCCUGAUAACAUCAACACUAUUAGGUACUUACUGUGUGUCAGGCACUCUUGUUCACUAGGAAAAGAAAGAAAUGGUCCUUAUCAUUAGUCUUUCCACGCCCAGCUCGAAUACAUUCCCAUUGAUUGAUUCAUUCAUUCAGGACGCAGUAUAUCUAAUCUAGGACCCUGUUCUAGAAGCUGUGAGGGAAACAGGGUUGAGUGAGAACCAGUUCCUUCCCUCCAGAGGCCCCAUGCUGGAACUCUGCUUGGUUCCCUCCAUGAAACUUUAUGCUCUCCUCUCCCCACUGAAGCCCAUGGAAAUCUAGCUUUUCUCAGAAUUUCUAAUGGAACAAAGCAAAAACUGACUCAAGUGUUCCUUUUAUUUAUUUACUUGAUUUUCUAAGGUUGGGCAAGAUAGAGGAGGAAAGGACUCUACCUCAUGGCUUGUCCAGAAGAGGGCAGGGCCACCCCUGCAGCCAGGCCUCCCGGGCCCUGGAGGUAGGAGGGGGACGAUGGCCUCUAAGAGCACUCUGAGACCAGGAGCCUGUUCUCUCGGGCCUGAAGGCUUCGCUUCCACUGUUCUGCGCUGCCGCCCUGGCCUGGCCACCUCCCCUCCACUGUGUGGCUGGCUCUUCUCUGCCUUCUGCUACCUGAUGGGAUCUCCCACUCGCCUCCACGAGGAUCUGAGAGGAAAGGGUGCUGAGGAGAGGAGCGUGGAGUGGGCAGGCUCUUGAUGCCAAGCCAAGAAUCUGCAUGGCUCAUUUGAAACUUCGCAGUGCCCUUUAUCCCUUGUUCUCUUUUAUGUAUAAGCUCAUCUUUCUCCCAUACAGUUGUAAACCCCAAAGGGUAGGGACUGUAUUCGGUUCCUUAUUUAUAUCGUGUAAGACAGUGACUCUCAAACUCAUCAGAAUCACCUGGGGAGUUUUAAAAACUUGAUUCCUCCAGAAACCAUAAAGACCAAAGAUUUAAAAAUAUCACCAUAUUAAAACAGAAUGAAGCAAAAUCCUUCUGUAAAGCUAAGAAAUUAUAAGCAAGGGGAAAACAGUAUUUGGAAUAUAGAUGGAAGACACACUAAUUUCUUUAAUUUGCAACAAAUGUCUAUAAAUAAGAAAUAUACAAACAACUCAAUAAAUGCUGGGCCAGGAAUCUGAACUGGCAGAACAUGGAAAAGAAAUACCAGUGACCAAGAAACAUAUGAAGAGCUGCUCAUCCUUCCUCAGAAAUAAAGAGACGCAAAUCAGAACAAUGCCAGACCACUUUUCAUGAAUCUGAUUAGCAAAAAUUAUAAAGUUUCAUGAUGCCCAUUGCUGAUGAGAGUAUGGAAGCAGAUGCCAGUGAAUGCAAACUUGGUGGAUUUUGGCACCUGUGUGACAAGGUGGGGCAGUGGUUCUCACACCUGCAUGAGCUUCUGAAUCACAUGAUGAACUUUUAAAAACAUAGAUUCUCUGCGCCCCCAUCCCAUACGGCACCCACGUGUAACUAAGGGCACAAUUUGUGAAGUUCGAAAUGGUAAUAGAGACCAGACUAGUAAAUUUCAACUAAAGGAAUUUUGUCAACAUACAUCAACAUUUUUAAAACAUGAGUAACCUUUGACCCAGCAAUUCUACUGAUGGGAGCUGAUUCUGAAAUUUCCCACACAAGAGUAUCAACGUCGGCAAGAAUGGAUGCCCACAGCAGCGUUAUUUGUAUAGCAAACAACCUCAAUGUCCAUCAAUAGGAACCUGGAUAAAUAAACUGUGGCACAUUCUUAGAUCUUUUAAAGAGAUUUAGUAGGAACUCCAUUUGCUGAUAUAGAGCAGUCUCUGAGUUAUGUUGUGCAAUGAAAAAAUCAAGCAGCAGAGCAGUAUAAAUGGUGUAAUCCAUUUUCCACAUAACUUUUAAAAUGACACACCAUAUACUUUGGUAAAUGCACAAAUUCUUUUUCAAUGGAAAAUCUACAAGAAGCUGAUAACAGUGGCAACUUUGAGGGAAGGAUGAGAAGAGAGGUUCUUACCUUUCAUUCAGUACUGCUUGAUUUUCCUACUUUGUGCAUUGAUUAGUUUUAGUGGAGAACUUCAGUAAGUGUCAUCUGAAAGGUGGAGUUAUGGGACAAUUUUGGUUUCUCCUUUAGAGUUUUCUGUAAAGGAUAUUCAAUAAUUGAAGAUUCUCAGGCCAUAUACCAGAUACACUAAGUUUGGGUGGAGAUGCUGGCAUGGGACUCUAGAAAUCAGCUUGUCGUGUGAUUCUGCUCAUCAGUCAGGUUUGAGACUCACUGCAGAAGAUUCUGGAAGAAAGAUGCUCUCUUCUCUAGCUCAGGGGUUAUGAGGAUGAGAGGGUGGGGUGGCGGCUGCAGCCCUUUUGUUUCCAUGAAAGGAGAACCUGAAUGACCUUGUGCAACCUAAGGUCAAAGAAAUGCAUGGCUGGCAAGUAAACCACAGAGAGGAACUUGUCCCCUGGUACAUCAGUAGGCCACAGAAUCAUGCCUUUCCCGAAGAAGGACGUCCUGCGUCUAGACUUUGCAGUUAUGGAGCCAAUACAUCCUCUUUUUUGUUUAAUGCAGCUUGAGUUAGGUCUUUUGUCACAUGCAAUAUUAAGAAUCCUAACUGAUAGACCUCCACUGAGACAAGCUGAGUAUGUCUUUAUCUCUUGCAGACUGAAAUUGCCUAAUUCAUAAAGUAUUUCAUGAUGUUUGCAAGAUAAACCCUUGUCUGGUGCCUUGGGCUACAUCUGAUGAUUGCCUGCAAUAUUUCUGCCUCUAGAAAUGAACUGUCAAACCAAGAAGUAUGUCCUUGGAAUGCAUCCUCCACAUUAGCAAAAGAAUUAUGUGUUUUGUUUGCUCUUCAUCAUGUAACUCUUGAAUAAAUUUGGAUGCAACAGAUAAA